RNAcentral lists this ribosomal RNA (939 nucleotides) under uncultured Bacillota bacterium. RNAcentral describes it as "bacterial SSU rRNA". It matches the Rfam family "Bacterial small subunit ribosomal RNA", at positions 1 to 917 of the family's 1533-position model. Lineage: Bacteria; Bacillati; Bacillota. The record is from RNAcentral.
UGGAUCCAGACUUUGAUCCUGGCUCAGGACGAACGCUGGCGGCGUGCUUAACACAUGCAAGUCGAACGGAGAACUUAUUUCGGUAAGUUCUUAGUGGCGAACGGGUGAGUAACGCGUGGGCAACCUGCCCUCCAGUUGGGGACAACAUUCCGAAAGGGAUGCUAAUACCGAAUGUGCUCCCUCCUCCGCAUGGAGGAGGGAGGAAAGAUGGCCUCUGCUUGCAAGCUAUCGCUGGAAGAUGGGCCCGCGUCUGAUUAGCUAGUUGGUGGGGUAACGGCUCACCAAGGCGAUGAUCAGUAGCCGGUCUAAGAGGAUGAACGGCCACAUUGGGACUGAGACACGGCCCAAACUCCUACGGGAGGCAGCAGUGGGGAAUCUUCCGCAAUGGACGAAAGUCUGACGGAGCAACGCCGCGUGAGUGAUGAAGGUCUUCGGAUUGUAAAACUCUGUUGUUAGGGACGAAAGCACCGUGUUCGAACAGGUCAUGGUGUUGACGGUACCUAACGAGGAAGCCACGGCUAACUACGUGCCAGCAGCCGCGGUAAUACGUAGGUGGCAAGCGUUGUCCGGAAUUAUUGGGCGUAAAGAGCAUGUAGGCGGGCUUUUAAGUCUGACGUGAAAAUGCGGGGCUUAACCCCGUAUGGCGUUGGAUACUGGAAGUCUUGAGUGCAGGAGAGGAAAGGGGAAUUCCCAGUGUAGCGGUGAAAUGCGUAGAUAUUGGGAGGAACACCAGUGGCGAAGGCGCCUUUCUGGACUGUGUCUGACGCUGAGAUGCGAAAGCCAGGGUAGCAAACGGGAUUAGAUACCCCGGUAGUCCUGGCCGUAAACGAUGGAUACUAGGUGUAGGAGGUAUCGACCCCUUCUGUGCCGGAGUUAACGCAAUAAGUAUCCCGCCUGGGGACUACGAUCGCAAGAUUGCAACUCAAAUGAAUUGACGGA